AUGGAACCAAUUACCGAGUGUUUGAAGAAAGGAAAGUUCCAAUGGACAGAAGCAGUUGAAGCUAGUUUCAAUGAGAUUAAACAAAAGCUAUCACAAGCUCAUGUCUUGGUGCUACCUGAUUUCAACAAGACUUUUGAGUUGGAGUGUGAUGCAAGUGGAGUAGGCAUUGGAGCAGUCCUAUCUCAAGAAAGGAAGCCCAUUGCUUUCUUUAGUGAGAAGUUAAGUGAAGCUAGACACAAAUGGAGUACCUAUCAGCAAGAAUUAUAUGUUGUUUUUAGAGCGUUGAAAACUUGGGAAGUCUAUUUGCUGCCUAAAGAGUUCAUUGUUUAUAGCGACCAUCAAUCCUUGAAGCAUUUUAGAAAUCAAAAGCAUGUUGACCGCAUGCUAGCAAGGUGGGCAACAUAUCUGGAGUGGUUUAAAUAUCUCAUCAUGCAUAAAUCUGGAAUAACUAACAGAGUGGCCGAUGCUUUGAGUCGUCAUGCAUGCCUCUUGACUUCUUUUGAAGCUGAACUUCCGGGCAUGGAUCAAAUAAAGGAGUUGUAUGAGGGUGACAAAGACUUUGGCCAUGUUUGGGUAAAGCACGCAAGGGUCCAACCAUUAGGUGAUGACCAUUUGAUGCAAGAUGGAUAUCUCUUCAAAAAUGAUCGUUUGUGCAUUCCAAGAAGUUCUCUAUGA
RNAcentral lists this ribosomal RNA (675 nucleotides) under Triticum aestivum (bread wheat). RNAcentral describes it as "partial small subunit ribosomal RNA". Lineage: Eukaryota; Viridiplantae; Streptophyta; Magnoliopsida; Poales; Poaceae. The record is from RNAcentral.